GGGGCGCCCUCUGAGCGUUCGCGCUGUGAUGAAUU
Molecule: unclassified non-coding RNA, 35 nt
Filed under: synthetic construct
Source: RNAcentral